GUUCAGAAUUUACUGUAAAUCUUUCUAAUGUAGUCAUUUGUUUCCACUUUCACAAAAUAAGCCUCCAGUCUGAAGCAGGUCACUUUGAGUGCAGCGUCUCUUCCCUGCGCUGGGUUUGUAAGAAGAAGGUCAGCUUCAAAUACCACUUCAGCUCAUGGGAUGAACACAGGGAGAAGCCUUCAUGUGUGGAUUACAUGCCAGCAGGACCACUACUGGACAUCACAGUCACAAGUGGAAAGAUGGAGGAAGUGCAUCUGCCACACUGGAUAGAUCACAACUCCACAAUAUCGGACAUGUUUGCAGUCCUACAUGUGGAUACUUCUGGAGAUUUUGUGAAAAAAGCGCCUCAAGUGACAUCAUCCCACGUCAAGUUAUGCCAGCCGACUUUCUUUCCAGCAGGGGUCAUGAUCCGGGUGAAACUGGGCUUCCCAGUCAAGGUUCACUAUGAGGCGUUGAUACAUUACUUUGAGGUGUUCCUCAGAAAUGCAGACGGUGACUAUAACCUGAGACUUGACAGUGAGGGAAAGAAAAAAAGCAGAAGGGACACAGUCUGGACCUGCACUAUAAGAAAAGAAUCAACGCUCUGAUCAUGAACAAGCCUCAGGUCAGCAUUUCACCGAUCGUCGUCGGACAGAACUGAUUGACAGUGAGCCACACAGGAGCCAGGAAGCGAGCCAGGCAAAGAUGCUCUCUAUGAAAUCCUUCAAAGGAUGAGGAGUGUGAGGCCUCUAAUCUCUGAGCUUGAGGAAUCUGGAUAACGGAGCAAAUCAUUAUAGUAAAAAACUGUUGAUUUGAACACAUCAUGAACAUUUGACGCAGAGAUGAGAGGACAGCAGGAAGCUGACUGUAUAUUCUGACAUUUUAUUUGAUCUGUAACUCUAUAGAGGCUCCAUCGAACAUCUAAUUUUGAACCUAGUAAAAAGGUUUGGAUUCGCAUGAAUGUACUGUACUGGAUUUUCAGUUUGACUUCUUUUGAAUAUAUUUUUUACUACUUUUAUGCUUUAUUUUUUACUGUCUUAUCAUUCAGAGUUGGAGGUGGAGCAGAAGAUGCUGGAUGGAGUAAAUGUCCAGCAUCUUGAAUGUACUGCUCCAUCAGCAGAGCACUUUUAGUAAUGAACUCGCUGCUGUCAGCUGAUCCGACAUCAGCCGCCUCAAAUGAAAACAGUGAUAUCUGGAAGGAAAUGAAGCUCCUAAAACUUUUGUCUUUCCCAUCAUUUAUAUUUUCAGGAUUUUGUUUAUGGAUGUUUGAAGUGUUGACAGUUCAACAGCUCCUUAACCUACUAAAGCAGUGUAUUCAGAGGAGAAUUAUUACAGUUUUUCUUUUUGUUUUCUUUCAUGUAAAUAUUCAUAGGUUUAUAUUAAGAGAGAUGUGUCAAGCAAACACAAUGAAAUCAUAAAGGACACACUUGGAUACAUUUUUUUAUUUUUUGUUUUGUUUUUUAAAUUCAUGAACACAUGACCUUGGAUGUUUUAUACUCGAUUCAAAGCCUUGAUAUGUAAGUUAGGGAGGUCACUUUUGAGCUAGUUACCCUGUUAAAAAUAAUAUUUGACUAUCUACUUACUUGUAACUUUUUACAUUUGAUACACACAUAUUGUGUUUUCAUAUUAUUACUAUUUUUAGGUUUAACUUUUUUUUAACACUCUACAGAUCUGUAUGAUGAACAUGGUUUUGAAAUAAAUUGGGUGCAUUUUGAUCCAGCGCCACUUGUUUACAUGAGGAAUAUUUCUUCAAUCUGAUCGACAUCAUUCCGAUUGGAGGUUUGUAUGAGACGAG
This 1774-nucleotide long non-coding RNA is filed under the name Sparus aurata (gilthead seabream). RNAcentral describes it as "lncRNA (ENSSAUG00010020595.1)". Lineage: Eukaryota; Metazoa; Chordata; Actinopteri; Spariformes; Sparidae. The record is from RNAcentral.